AAUUAACACCGGACGACUCCUCAGCCGCCGGACGGCCCGGCAGCAGAGCCCUUUUUGCGGGAGGAAGGGCUGCAAGUCCCGCUUCCGCUUCCGCGCCGCUUCUAACCCGACAGCGGAAGUGCCGGGACCCCUAUAAACGGCACAAGGAAGCGCGACACGCACACGCCGUCGCGACGCCACGCUGCCAUCUAGGGCCCGCCGCUCCUUGUACGGGCACAGGAGGUGGGGCCUGCUGCCUGACGUCGAAGUCGAGGCGGGGCUCCGAUAGGGGGAACCUGGGGCUGGGGGCGGGGCCUAUGCAAAUCGCUGGGCUGAAACAUAAAUAGAGCACUCCGCGGACACGGGGGUGGCGGGGGCGGCCGGGUUGGAUGCGCGGUGGGUUGUGAGAAUGUCAGGCUCCUGUGACGCGGGAGGCGGGGCCCAGGCGGGGUUCCCGCGGGAGGGGGCGGGCCGCCGGGCCGGGCCUGAGGUGGGUGGGUCCCUGCGCCCCCUGCCUGCUCAACUUCCCUCUCCAGCUCCCGGCUCGUCUUUGAUGUCCGACAAGCCACGGGCUGCCGCCCUCCUGCCCGCCCGCACAGCCACGAAAAAUCACGCGCGGAGGCCGAUCCCGCAGACCCUGAGCCUUGCGUGGCUCCGUCGCGAGUCCUGGGCUGCGGGUCCCUGGGGCUGCGACGCGGGCGGACUUUCCAUGGCUGCCUUACUUGCGAGGAAAAUUUUGGUAACACGAUGUUUUUUAUGCAUCCGUCUGGUAUUUUUCUGGGCACCUCCUCCACGCCUAGGAAAAGGCCCGGACAGAAGGCUCGUUUUGGACAAAUCGAAGGCGAAGUCUCUCUCCAUUUGUUUUGUUCCUGGAUGUCUUUUAAAGAUAAAAGUAGUUUUUGAUGUUUUUAAACCUUUUAGGUGAUAGGACAAGAAAGUAAGCUAAAAGGGUAAACUACAACUUGGGCUCUAUUUUGCCUUCAGCAACGGCCAUGGUAGGAGUUUAACAGAUAUGGUUUGUAGAUCACCCACAAAGUUAUUGAGCUGCAGAGUUAAAGAUGACAAACGGGUGCCCCCAGGCGGGACAAGUGAUUCACUCAGGGUCCUAGGGGGUGGUAGUGGGAAAGAUUAAUUUACCUCGAACAGGAAAAUGGACACCUUUGGAGGGGCCUAACGUUGAGAGAUGUCAGUGGGUUUAAGGCGUCGCCCUUCCCUAGAAAGAUCUAGUUUAACUUUCAAAGACAAAUGCAGCUUCGCCUCGCCCCCCCACACACACACCGAGGCAUGACCCCUUGCCCACAGCGUUCUCUGAGGGCUGCGCCCACUCUCCCCUGCAGCCACGGCUGGGCCGGGCUCUCAGGAUUUCCCUGGCGCUGCCCUGCCUCCCUUGUCUCCGGGUCCUCGUUUCUUCCUCCAAAAUGUGUAGUGUAACCCUGCCCUGCAACCUGUGGUGGCUGAUGGCCCUUCCUCUCUCGGGAACCAUUCACCCUACAGCUGUCCCCGCAACAGUACUGUCUGCCCCUCGGCUCACUAGUUUCUUCCUGGAGGCCAGCUCACAUUUCCAAGAUCACCAGGAUACCCCUGGCCACCUUAGACGCAAAGUACCACCUUUCCCAGAGCCCAGUCUCCCCUGGGUGUUGGUGACUGUUACACCCCCUUUCCAAGGCUUGCCACCCUGUGCCUUGUUGACUGCCUCUCGCCUGCAGCUCCCACGCCCGGCGUGCUGUGUUGUCUAUCCCAGCCCCUCUUCACUGCUCAUAGUCGAUUAUUCCUCCUCCUCGCUCUGCGGGAGCCUCCUGGCUGGUGUGUCUGCAUAGGCUUUCCUCCUCCACACCAUCUCCCACUCAGCUGCUGUGUUUCCCAAAGUACAUCUCUGACGGUGUCACCACUUCCCCAAGGCCCUCUCCGCGGCUCUCCGCUGCCUGCUGGAAGGAGUCCAGACUCAGAGCUGAUCCUAACCAAAGCCAAGUUUCCAGCCUGGACUCCUGUUCAAGCCCAACAGACCUUCUCCCAGUUCCCCUGCAGGAUGUAGGGAAUGUUCCAGCAGGACCCUGCGCUCUGCACAAUUACUCUGGGCGGUCCUGCUGCCUCAGGGCUCUCUCUUCCCUUGCAACUUGUCAAGUUGCCAGUCUCCCUUCAGUGAUUUGCCCCAAGGCGACUUCCUCUGGGAAAAGGAAGCCCACCUGGAUGUGUGAUCUCUCCCACUCCUCAAGCCCCUCUAAAACUGCAGGUCUUCCUUGUGACAUUUCGGUCAUCUGCCUAGCACCACAGUUACCUUCAGACUUGCCUAAGCCUUGUGUGCUCUCUCUGCUGACUAGAAAUUCUCUGAGGGUUGGGAUCCUGCGUCAUCCAUUUCUGUAGCCCCAAAGUGCCUGGCCCUGCACUGCAAGGCUUCUGUCUCCCUGGAGGUUGGCUACACCCAUGAGCCCAGAGAGAAGUAAGCAAUGGUAUGUCAUCUUUGGCUGGUGCUUGUGCCACCUCCGAUUUCGGGAGAUGUAUAGUGGGGUGUGUGUGUGUGUGUGUGUGUGUGUGUGUGUCCAUGGAAAUCAUUACUAAAUUCCAGCAGGCCUCUAACCCCCGGGACCAAAUCAAGGGGAAGAACCCUCUCCAGUGUGUUUACCGUUAGGCAAUGGGUGGGAAAUCAAAGUACAGAAAGUUUACAGUUUCCCACGUGAGUGAGUCAUCAUAGCACAUCACACCGGACUACAUCCGCCAGCCCCAGGCUCCCAGCAGACUGCAUGAACAGCACUGCGACUGGCUACACUGACGAACUUAAGAAAGAGGGGCCACCCCCUGCCACCGAAGCACCAUACACCGCCUCUGGCCCAUUGCAUUUGGAUGUACAUGUGGAUGGCAAAGCAAUUUACUGGACAAGGGCAGUGGAGUACUAGCCAGAAAGCUAUCAUGGCUCCUCCACCAUCCUUCUAUUUUAAAACGAAAACUUUGAAUAAGUUCAGUAGAGGUUCAUCAAAUUCCUGGGGCACUGGUUUUCAAAGAGACCCCUAGGGAGCCCCCAAAGCAUAAUGUACACGGAAAUGAAUACGUGGGGCAAGCUCCCCAGUCAGUUGUCUUUACUCUGACGUUUGAAAGCUACCCUUUGGGGGCAAGAACUUCACACAGCCCAGCGCUUAAGAGGAGGCCACGGAGAGAGCAAAUGACCUUGCCUCGUCUUUAUUGGCAGUCAUCUCAGCUAAUUGAGACAGUAAUUUGCCAUUAGUAGGAAGAGUCCAAGACAUGGAAAUUGGAUUAGAUCUAAAGAACUUCAAGUCAUUUGAAGAUGGACACGACACUAUAUCCAUUUCCAUGUUGUUUUCCCUACUGGGUAUAUUCUUGAUGUUAUAAUCGCAAUCGAUCACAUUCUGUGGACUGUAACUAAACGUGUAAAGAGAAGAAAAAACCUAAAACAGCAUAGUUAACCUGAGAAACAGGCCUAAUUCUCCCCUCAAAUAGAGAGUGCCCCAGUGGGUUAACAAGAAUGAAGCAUCAUGUCUUAAAGAUGGCGCUGCAUCCACGAAAAAUGUCCAGUAUCAGAGGAACUGCCAGCAGAGUCUUCCUGGCCAGUCCUUUCCAAUACGUAGAUUCUUGGGCAAAAGACAAGAGGGCAGGGAAUGACCAGCCCCAAGCCAUCAGUCUUUCCUCUCUCUCUGAAGAGGGGAAAAUUUUGGUCCAUUGGAACUGUGUUAAAUCCUGGAGAAUGGAGCCACAGAUAUCUUACUGUUGGUAUUUUUUUUUUUAAACAGAACUUACAUACACAAUGUUUGAUGGCUUCUCCACACCACAGUAAGUCAUAUGAUGCCCCAGCCCCUACACAAGAAACACAUGAAGAAACUGAGGCUCAGAGAAACUAGCCAAAAGUUAUUUGGCUCCUAAUCAACAGCAAUUCAAUUUCAGUCUGUCUGACUCCAAAGCUAGAACUUUUUCCGUUAUCCAGUAUUUUCCAAACUUGCCAUAUUGUAAGAAUCAGCCUGAGGACUUGUUAAAAAUAUAGAUUUCCUUUACCUCUCCCCCUGGAGAUUCUACCGUGGCAGCACUGGGGUGGGGCUUGGAAUCCAUCAUUUUAACCCAUGCCCUGGAUAAUUCUUCGGCACAAGCAAAAUGGGAAACAUCCUAUCCCACGCCCCCUGUCACUCACUCACCCACACCGUUUCAUGCCUUAAGAGAAACUCUUCUAAAACUAGCUGUAACUGUAAGAAUGUGCAUUCAACCCCUGAUCGCCCAGCCAGUCUUUUCCAUCUUACUUCCAAGCUCAAUGUAGUCUGUUGAGAUGGAAGACUUUAGAGUUAUCAUCUGGAAUUUUGGGAAAAAAUCAUAGGGCCAAUCUUGUGGCACAGGUUAAGCCCCCACUUUCAAUAAUGGCACCCAUAUGGAAGAUCCAGCUCAAGUCCUGGCUCCUCUGCUUCCCAUCCCGCUCCUGGCUAAUACACUUGGGAAAGCAACAGAAGGUGGCCCAAGUACUUGGGCUGCUGCUAGCUAUACGGGAGACCCAGAUGGACUUCCAGGCUCCUGGCUUCAUCCUGACCCAGUCCUGGCCAUUGUGGCCAUUUGGGGAGUGAACCAGAGAAUGGAUCGAUCGAUCGAUCGAUCGAUCUAUCUAUCUCUGUCAUCUAUCUAUCUCUGUCAUCUAUCUAUCUCUGUCUCUGUUUCUAUCUCUUUCAAAUAAAUAGCUCUUUUCUAAAAAAUUAUUACA
Oryctolagus cuniculus (rabbit) is the source of this 4666-nucleotide long non-coding RNA. The record is from Ensembl. Lineage: Eukaryota; Metazoa; Chordata; Mammalia; Lagomorpha; Leporidae.